RNAcentral lists this long non-coding RNA (421 nucleotides) under Panax ginseng (ginseng). RNAcentral describes it as "long non-coding RNA (PGIN_LNC006571)". Lineage: Eukaryota; Viridiplantae; Streptophyta; Magnoliopsida; Apiales; Araliaceae. The record is from RNAcentral.
ACCCUUCUCUGAAUUAAACUCUGUAAUCUUCGUGAGAAUUUUCUCUUGUCUAAACCUCCAAGCUUGUUCUUCUAUUCUGUUUCUUCUUCUUUUUUUCACAGUAUCCCUUGAUUCAUCCAUCCUUGCUUCUCUUGUACGCCCCAUCCAUUCCUCAUGAUACUCUCCUACACUGACUCUAAACCACCACCACUAGUUUCCUUAUCAAAGCAAAUAUGUCCAACAAAAACCCGCACCAGCGCGCCCCGCGCCAAUCAGUGCCUCUCCGCAGCGCGCUCCGCGCUAGCCCAUUAGUAAUCGGCCAUACUCCAGCGUGCUCCGCGCCCAUCUGCCUCUUAACACAGCGCGCUCCGCACUUAGCCAACAGCAACUUGCAAUGUCACUCAAAAUAUCCUCACAUGCUCCUAAUUGCUGACGAAUCUGC